Molecule: ribosomal RNA, 465 nt
Filed under: Vreelandella stevensii
Lineage: Bacteria; Pseudomonadati; Pseudomonadota; Gammaproteobacteria; Oceanospirillales; Halomonadaceae
Description: partial 16S ribosomal RNA
Rfam family: Bacterial small subunit ribosomal RNA
Source: RNAcentral
CCUACGGGGGGCUGCAGUGGGGAAUAUUGGACAAUGGGGGCAACCCUGAUCCAGCCAUGCCGCGUGUGUGAAGAAGGCCCUCGGGGUGUAAAGCACUUUCAGUGAGGAAGAACGCCUGGUGGUUAAUACCCAUCAGGAAAGACAUCACUCACAGAAGAAGCACCGGCUAACUCCGUGCCAGCAGCCGCGGUAAUACGGAGGGUGCGAGCGUUAAUCGGAAUUACUGGGCGUAAAGCGCGCGUAGGUGGCUUGAUAAGCCGGUUGUGAAAGCCCCGGGCUCAACCUGGGAACGGCAUCCGGAACUGUCAAGCUAGAGUGCAGGAGAGGAAGGUAGAAUCCCCGGUGUAGCGGUGAAAUGCGUAGAGAUCGGGAGGAAUACCAGUGGCGAAGGCGGCCUUCUGGACUGACACUGACACUGAGGUGCGAAAGCGUGGGUAGCAAACAGGAUUAGAUACCCCUGUAGUC